AAUAGAUACCCAGGUAGUCCACGCCGUAAACGAUGAGUGCUAAGUGUUAGAGGGUUUCCGCCCUUUAGUGCUGCAGCUAACGCAUUAAGCACUCCGCCUGGGGAGUACGGUCGCAAGACUGAAACUCAAAGGAAUUGACGGGGGCCCGCACAAGCGGUGGAGCAUGUGGUUUAAUUCGAAGCAACGCGAAGAACCUUACCAGGUCUUGACAUCCUCUGACAACUCUAGAGAUAGAGCGUUCCCCUUCGGGGGACAGAGUGACAGGUGGUGCAUGGUUGUCGUCAGCUCGUGUCGUGAGAUGUUGGGUUAAGUCCCGCAACGAGUGCAACCCUUGAUCUUAGUUGCCAGCAUUUAGUUGGGCACUCUAAGGUGACUGCCGGUGACAAACCGGAGGAAGGUGGGGAUGACGUCAAAUCAUCAUGCCCCUUAUGACCUGGGCUACACACGUGCUACAAUGGAUGGUACAAAGGGCUGCAAGACCGCGAGGUCAAGCCAAUCCCAUAAAACCAUUCUCAGUUCGGAUUGU
RNAcentral lists this ribosomal RNA (526 nucleotides) under uncultured bacterium. RNAcentral describes it as "bacterial SSU rRNA". It matches the Rfam family "Bacterial small subunit ribosomal RNA", at positions 777 to 1301 of the family's 1533-position model. The record is from RNAcentral.